UUCAAAACACAUCCCCAAAAUCUAUGGUUGAAGAUUAAAUGAUAAGAAUAUAAGCAAGACUAAAAACAAACAAAAAAGGAAAAAGGAUAAAAGCUAUAAAAAAAGUAUAAAAAAAAGGAGGUGCAAGCAGUAAAUAGAGUAAUUCGUAUGACCUAGAUCUUGGUCCAAUAAAAAAUAAUAAUAAAAAAAGAAAAUAGAAAAGGGGUUAAAACAAAAAAAUGGGGAUGUAUUGUUAAGAAAAUUUGAGGGGCCG
RNAcentral lists this long non-coding RNA (253 nucleotides) under Lathyrus oleraceus (garden pea). RNAcentral describes it as "Pisum sativum (pea) long non-coding RNA (PSAT_LNC022425)". The record is from RNAcentral. Lineage: Eukaryota; Viridiplantae; Streptophyta; Magnoliopsida; Fabales; Fabaceae.